Molecule: ribosomal RNA, 367 nt
Filed under: uncultured bacterium
Lineage: Bacteria
Description: bacterial SSU rRNA
Rfam family: Bacterial small subunit ribosomal RNA
Source: RNAcentral
GGAGGAUCCAAGCGUUAUCCGGAAUCAUUGGGUUUAAAGGGUCCGUAGGCGGUCUUAUAAGUCAGUGGUGAAAGCCCAUCGCUUAACGAUGGAACGGCCAUUGAUACUGUAGGACUUGAAUUAGUGGGAAGUAACUAGAAUAUGUAGUGUAGCGGUGAAAUGCUUAGAUAUUACAUGGAAUACCAAUUGCGAAGGCAGGUUACUAUCACUAUAUUGACGCUGAUGGACGAAAGCGUGGGGAGCGAACAGGAUUAGAUACCCUGGUAGUCCACGCCGUAAACGAUGGAUACUAGCUGUUCGGAGCAAUCUGAGUGGCUAAGCGAAAGUGAUAAGUAUCCCACCUGGGGAGUACGUUCGCAAGAAUGAA